GAUGAACGCUGGCGGCGUGCCUAAUACAUGCAAGUCGAGCGAACGGACGAGAAGCUUGCUUCUCUGAUGUUAGCGGCGGACGGGCGAGUAACACGUGGAUAACCUACCUAUAAGACUGGGAUAACUUCGGGAAACCGGAGCUAAUACCGGAUAAUAUUUUGAACCGCAUGGUUCAAAAGUGAAAGACGGUCUUGCUGUCACUUAUAGAUGGAUCCGCGCUGCAUUAGCUAGUUGGUAAGGUAACGGCUUACCAAGGCAACGAUGCAUAGCCGACCUGAGAGGGUGAUCGGCCACACUGGAACUGAGACACGGUCCAGACUCCUACGGGAGGCAGCAGUAGGGAAUAUUCCGCAAUGGGCGAAAGCCUGACGGAGCAACGCCGCGUGAGUGAUGAAGGUCUUCGGAUCGUAAAACUCUGUUAUUAGGGAAGAACAUAUGUGUAAGUAACUGUGCACAUCUUGACGGUACCUAAUCAGAAAGCCACGGCUAACUACGUG
This 497-nucleotide ribosomal RNA is filed under the name uncultured bacterium. RNAcentral's name for it is "partial 16S ribosomal RNA". It matches the Rfam family "Bacterial small subunit ribosomal RNA", at positions 28 to 507 of the family's 1533-position model. The record is from RNAcentral.